UUGACUUUGGCGGCACACAUACUAAUAUUGGAUAGAUACAGAGAAGAUUAGCAUGGUCUCCUGCCAAAGGAUGACAUGCAAUACGUGAACCUGGGUACCAGAUAUUA
This is a small nuclear RNA of Danio aesculapii, 107 nucleotides long. The record is from RefSeq and is a predicted model, not a curated record. Lineage: Eukaryota; Metazoa; Chordata; Actinopteri; Cypriniformes; Danionidae.